UGUGCUCGGAUAGAAUGACCAUUGUGAAGGUGAUGUGGGCUACGUCACAGAGGACUGGGCACCAGUCGGAGGGUGCAGCUUGGAGCACUCCUGCUGAGCUUAGAGCAUCAGAGGACAUCAUGCCAGCUGGCCCCUGUGAGAUUUCAACACAAUGCUCCAUCCACAAGGUGAAUGUUGCUGGAAUGGGAGGUGGUUAACAGGGUGACCUCUUCCUCUGCUCACACGGAAGAAAAGACUCAGAAACAUCUGAUAAGUGGCAA
Molecule: non-coding RNA, 260 nt
Organism: Phasianus colchicus (ring-necked pheasant)
Lineage: Eukaryota; Metazoa; Chordata; Aves; Galliformes; Phasianidae
Source: RefSeq, a predicted model, not a curated record